AGAGUUUGAUCCUGGCUCAGGAUAAACGCUAGCGGCAGGCUUAACACAUGCAAGUCGAGGGGCAGCGAGGAGUAGCAAUACUCUGUCGGCGACCGGCGCAAGGGUGCGUAACGCGUGAGCAACUUGCCCUGGACAGGGGGAUAAGCAUUGGAAACGAUGUCUAAUACCCCAUAACAACAGACCUUACAUGGGGUUUGUUUGAAAGGUAUUUAUACCGGUUUAGGAUGGGCUCGCGUAACAUUAGUUAGUUGGUAGGGUAACGGCCUACCAAGACUACGAUGUUUAGGGGAACUGAGAGGUUGGUCCCCCACACUGGAACUGAGACACGGUCCAGACUCCUACGGGAGGCAGCAGUGAGGAAUAUUGGUCAAUGGCCGGAAGGCUGAACCAGCCAUGCCGCGUGAAGGAAUGAGGCCCUAUGGGUCGUAAACUUCUUUUGUAAGGGAGCAAUAAGGGUUAUGUAUAGCCCGAUGAGAGUACCUUAUGAAUAAGCAUCGGCUAACUCCGUGCCAGCAGCCGCGGUAAUACGGAGGAUGCGAGCGUUAUCCGGAUUUAUUGGGUUUAAAGGGUGCGUAGGCGGAGAAGUAAGUCAGCGGUGAAAUGUCGAGGCUCAACCUCGGAACUGCCGUUGAUACUGCCUUUCUAGAAUGCGGAUGCCGUGGGAGGAAUGUGUGGUGUAGCGGUGAAAUGCAUAGAGAUCACACAGAACACCGAUUGCGAAGGCAUCUCACGAAUCCGCAAUUGACGCUGAGGCACGAAAGCGCGGGGAUCGAACAGGAUUAGAUACCCUGGUAGUCCGCGCAGUAAACGAUGAUGACUAGCCGUCGGCGAUACAAUGUCGGUGGUCAAGCGAAAGCGAUAAGUCAUCCACCUGGGGAGUACGACCGCAAGGUUGAAACUCAAAGGAAUUGACGGGGGCCCGCACAAGCGGAGGAACAUGUGGUUUAAUUCGAUGAUACGCGAGGAACCUUACCCGGGCUCGAACGGCAGAUGAAAGUCUCAGAGAUGAGCUGUCCUUCGUGACAUCUGUCGAGGUGCUGCAUGGUUGUCGUCAGCUCGUGCCGUGAGGUGUUGGCUUAAGUGCCAUAACGAGCGCAACCCUUGCCGCCAGUUGCCAUCACGUAGUGGUGGGCACUCUGGUGGGACUGCCACCGCAAGGUGUGAGGAAGGGGGGGAUGACGUCAAAUCAGCACGGCCCUUACGUCCGGGGCGACACACGUGUUACAAUGGCGGCUACAGAGGGUUGCUACGCGGCGACGCGGUGCUAAUCUCAAAAAGCCGUCUCAGUUCGGACUGGAGUCUGCAACUCGACUCCACGAAGCUGGAUUCGCUAGUAAUCGCGCAUCAGCCAUGUCGCGGUGAAUACGUUCCCGGGCCUUGCACUAACCGCCCGUCAAG
This 1398-nucleotide ribosomal RNA is filed under the name uncultured bacterium. Its description in RNAcentral is "bacterial SSU rRNA". It matches the Rfam family "Bacterial small subunit ribosomal RNA". The record is from RNAcentral.